This 636-nucleotide ribosomal RNA is filed under the name Triticum aestivum (bread wheat). RNAcentral's name for it is "partial small subunit ribosomal RNA". The record is from RNAcentral. Lineage: Eukaryota; Viridiplantae; Streptophyta; Magnoliopsida; Poales; Poaceae.
AUGAAAGAGGGAGCAGCAUGUCCCCCUUCAACUGUAGACCAGUCUGUCAUUCAGGACACUGUUCUAGAUAGGAUGCAUACUGACAAUGAGCGGAAGCGUAAUUUAACAAACGAUCAAAGGGAGACGAAAAACACAAGGAGCAGAGCAUGCCAUCAGAAGAGAAGUGACGAAUUAACAUUCGAGGACAGAGAAAUAAUCAACGGAAAAAGACGCGAGAGGAGCGUGCAACGCCGUAAAAGCAUGUCGGCGAAUGAGAAGGGGGAGUCAAGUGCACAGAGAAAGGCAAAUUAUGACCGAAGGAAAAAAACACCUUGCAAAGAAUGCAUCGCAAUCCCCCUUACAGAACUAGCAAUCUCAGACUCCGAAUGUCCCGCAUUCCCUAGCCGUGCAUCAAUCGUCUCCCAGGCCGCAAAAGAUGAUUCAUCUGAUGACGAUCCGGGGACGAAUAUGCCGACAUACUCUGCCGUUGCCGCUGAGGACAUCGAUGUUUUCCAAAGCGGGACCAUGCGUCAUGAGCAUGAAGCACAUGAAUUGAUUGAUGAGGAGUACUAUAUGUUUUGCAACGAAGGUAUUGCAAACGCUACACUAUUUAUGAUUUGGAGCUCUUUUGUAGUCUCGUUUAUUUGUUGUUCGUGA